This 26-nucleotide non-coding RNA is filed under the name Homo sapiens (human). Lineage: Eukaryota; Metazoa; Chordata; Mammalia; Primates; Hominidae. The record is from RNAcentral.
UUGUCAUCCAUGCUUUCAGAGGGACU